CGAUAAUCAUAAUUUCGUAUAGCAUAUUCUUUAACUAAAUAGAUAAUACUAGAUUGUGAUGUUUACAUGCAGCCACUAACAUGCUGAAUUUAUCACGGAAUCACAUCAACUACAGACAAACCAACUAGUGAUUAAAAAUCAAGAGCUAGGCUCUUUCUAGUUCUUCAAAUUGCAAUGCCGAAGCUUAAAGAAGAAAAAGAUUUCUUUUAACAUACACGAAUUGCAACAGUUGUUCAAUACCACAUAUUGCAAACCAAGGCUGAAAUAUGUUAUCGCAACCAUGUAUUAACUCAAUCCUAAGCAUAUGAGCUUAGCCUAGCGUUGAGCCAUGAAUAUAGGAAGGCAAUACUGUCAAGUCAGAUGUACAAUCGGAGACCUUCAAGCUACCAAACAUGGAUAUCAGUAGCUCAGUCAAGCUGAAACUAUCAUGAACUUGGAGUGGUUUUCUUAUUCUAACUGAACCAAUAGCUAAUUCUAAUAGAUGACACGAUCAUGUUCCACAAUCCCCUUUGACAAGGUAUUAAAAUGAAUGUAUGCAGACUUCAUAGCAGUAAAAUCUCCUGCUGCAAUCAUCUAAACCACAAACAUAAGUUGGCCAACAGUGAAUGCUCUAGCAUCUUCAACAGAAGGGAAUGCGCAGCUAAUAAUGAUCAAAUUCAAACAAGGUCAACAGAUAUAGUCUAGAAUACUUAAAAUAUGAGUACAUAACAUGCUACAAUCAGAUGCAUAGAUUCAUUGAGAAGAUACUAGCAUAGCUUGUAAACCACAUUAUCAUACGAUUGCAUAUGCAUUAACCUUAACAAUCAAUGUAAAAAAAAGCUACUGCUAGUAAAAAAUCUAGAGUUCAGUCCAAAACUUCACAUUAGUUCAACCUUAGGGCACAUCAAAGUCCAGGAAAUCAGCAUAACAAACAAUACUACAUUUGAGCCAACAGUAAAAACAAAAGAGAAGAAACAGAUGGCUAUAUUCCUUUCAAUUUCUCAUUAAAAUUUCAAACACAUGUGAGGACCCUUGCAAUCACUUGCUGCUUAUGGUUGGCAGAUUUACCUGGAAAUGAGGCAAAAACCAAGAGAUAGGGAAUCAGUGAUCUGGUGACAGAAGAGCAGCAACAAAUAUCCCCAAAGCUUUUCAUAAUCCAAACUCAAAACAUUUCAAUCAAAGAGAGCACAUGAAUAAUGCAUUUAUCAUUGAAGAACCACCGAACCCCCAAAAGUGUAAUGAAAUAGUGUUUUUCAUUUUGCCUUCGGCUAUUUCUCUCUUUUUUUUUUUGACUGCUCCCUCUGGAGGACCCCCCUAAGGCAGGAAAAUGUGUCCUUUUAUGGGAAAAGGAAUGGGACACCACUGUGAAAUUCGUUUUUCCUCUUAGUCCCCGAAAUCUUGGCUAGCUUGCCAAGUAAAGCCCCUUUUCUAGCUUCUAGGAAGUUUCCUAGGCAAUUACCCAAUCUACCCCUGAAUUCCCCUGAUUUUACUGCAAAAGACUUAUUCGGUUAUAGGUCCAACGACCUAACAAUUGAACAAGGCCUGGGCUCAAACUGAACUGUGAGAUGAAUUCACGGCCCAAAUUGCACACAAAUUUUCCAAACUCAAACUACAUUAGAAUAACUCGACAACAUAGAAUGCAAAAAUUAGCUCAGCUAGACCAAACAAAUUUAAACAAAACUGGCCAGAAAACUCAUAGAAAAAAAAUUGAAAAAGACUGCUUUAAAGAGAACAAAAUGGGCAAAACCAAUUCUGUCUAAAACUUGUCCAACUUUAAAACUGCGUACUGGAAAGGAAAGAAGAAAGGAAGGGGGGGGAGGGGGGAAGGGACAAGAUCUGAGAAGCCAAAUAGUAAAUCAAAUAGAAAAGGAUGAAGAUACUAACUAAGUUUGGACUCGACCUCGACUGACCUUCCAAAUUAAACCUUAAAAGGAUAUUAAUCGUCUGUUUUUUGUCAAUAACAGGCGAAUAACAUCGCUUUGUGAUAAAACCGGCCUUGAAUAUUCAUAGAACUUGGAGAGUUACCAUUGCAUGAACGGGUUUCGACUUUGGCUUUUAGGGUUGGAAAUCUAGAUCCAAGAUUCAAGAAAUUUCGGUUGGAUUUGAUGAAAACAGGUUUGAGAUUUGAGUUGUGGGGGCCAAGGUGAGUCUAUGGAAUAAUUUUAGUGGAGAUUGAAUACUUGCCACCGGCAACCAUGGCUGAGUUGCUCAAGGACAGCGUAAGUUUAGUAAAGAAGAUGACAGAAACGAUUAGUUUGGUCUUAGGAUAAUGGGGAAUUUUAGACACAUUUAAGAGAAUCAGGGAAUUGACACCAGCCCUUUGAUUAGAUUUGGAUGGAAGGCCAGGAUUUUUUUUAACUCUUGAACUCAAAAUGACAUAGUAUGGCUUCAGUAC
This 2374-nucleotide long non-coding RNA is filed under the name Nicotiana benthamiana. Its description in RNAcentral is "long non-coding RNA (NBEN_LNC042164)". Lineage: Eukaryota; Viridiplantae; Streptophyta; Magnoliopsida; Solanales; Solanaceae. The record is from RNAcentral.